Molecule: ribosomal RNA, 253 nt
Filed under: uncultured bacterium
Lineage: Bacteria
Description: partial 16S ribosomal RNA
Rfam family: Bacterial small subunit ribosomal RNA
Source: RNAcentral
UACGUAGGGUGCAAGCGUUGUCCGGAAUUAUUGGGCGUAAAGAGCUCGUAGGUGGUUUGUCGCGUCUGCUGUGAAAACUCGGGGCUUAACCCCGGGCCUGCAGUGGGUACGGGCAGACUAGAGUGCAGUAGGGGAGACUGGAAUUCCUGGUGUAGCGGUGAAAUGCGCAGAUAUCAGGAGGAACACCGAUGGCGAAGGCAGGUCUCUGGGCUGUAACUGACGCUGAGGAGCGAAAGCAUGGGGAGCGAACAGG